ACUUAAAUUGAAGAGUUUGAUCAUGGCUCAGAUUGAACGCUGGCGGCAGGCCUAACACAUGCAAGUCGGGCGGUAGCACAGAGAGCUUGCUCUCGGGUGACGAGCGGCGGACGGGUGAGUAAUGUCUGGGAAACUGCCUGAUGGAGGGGGAUAACUACUGGAAACGGUAGCUAAUACCGCAUAA
RNAcentral lists this ribosomal RNA (184 nucleotides) under Klebsiella pneumoniae. Its description in RNAcentral is "partial 16S ribosomal RNA". It matches the Rfam family "Bacterial small subunit ribosomal RNA", at positions 1 to 176 of the family's 1533-position model. Lineage: Bacteria; Pseudomonadati; Pseudomonadota; Gammaproteobacteria; Enterobacterales; Enterobacteriaceae. The record is from RNAcentral.